Apis florea (little honeybee) is the source of this 342-nucleotide long non-coding RNA. NCBI's taxonomy places the organism in Eukaryota, Metazoa, Arthropoda, Insecta, Hymenoptera, Apidae. The record is from RefSeq and is a predicted model, not a curated record.
AAUCUCCAAAAUACAAUAGAUACUGAGAAAAUAUUUAAUUUAAAAGACAAUAUUACAUUAUCUUCUUCUGGAAAACGUAAAACAGUUAAAGAAUUAAUAGAAGAUAAUCAAAAUUCUUUAAAAAGGUUUUCCAAUUUUGAAAUACUUUUUCGUAAACAACUACAACUACAGGAAAUUGAUAUAUCUGGAUUUUCUAAAACAAUAUCUUCAAACAUAUCAAAAGAUGUAUUGGAAACAAAACAUCAUUCAAAUAUUUUGACAGAAAAUAAAUCACAAUUGGAAAAUAGUACAUCUAAUAAUAAUAGAGAAAAGAAAAAAUUAUCAAAAACACUAUAUAUAUGA